CACUCUCCGCGUUCACUGUCUGCCUUAAUGUUGCUUGCGCCAUAAGGCACGCGGUGAAUGCCAAGAGAUGGG
Molecule: non-coding RNA, 72 nt
Organism: Cordylochernes scorpioides
Lineage: Eukaryota; Metazoa; Arthropoda; Arachnida; Pseudoscorpiones; Chernetidae
Source: the annotation of a GenBank genome assembly